RNAcentral lists this ribosomal RNA (509 nucleotides) under Methylophilus sp. RNAcentral describes it as "bacterial SSU rRNA". It matches the Rfam family "Bacterial small subunit ribosomal RNA", at positions 258 to 759 of the family's 1533-position model. The record is from RNAcentral. Lineage: Bacteria; Pseudomonadati; Pseudomonadota; Betaproteobacteria; Nitrosomonadales; Methylophilaceae.
UAAUAGCCUACCAAGGCUUCGAUCAGUAGCUGGUCUGAGAGGACGACCAGCCACACUGGAACUGAGACACGGUCCAGACUCCUACGGGAGGCAGCAGUGGGGAAUUUUGGACAAUGGGCGCAAGCCUGAUCCAGCCAUUCCGCGUGAGUGAAGAAGGCCUUCGGGUUGUAAAGCUCUUUCGCAAGGGAAGAAAACUUACACAAUAACACUGUGUGAGGCUGACGGUACCUUGAUAAGAAGCACCGGCUAACUACGUGCCAGCAGCCGCGGUAAUACGUAGGGUGCGAGCGUUAAUCGGAAUUACUGGGCGUAAAGCGUGCGCAGGCGGUUUGGCAAGUCAGAUGUGAAAUCCCCGAGCUCAACUUGGGAACUGCGUUUGAAACUGCCAGACUAGAAUAUGUCAGAGGGGGGUAGAAUUCCACGUGUAGCAGUGAAAUGCGUAGAGAUGUGGAGGAAUACCAAUGGCGAAGGCAGCCCCCUGGGAUAAUAUUGACGCUCAUGCACGAAAG